GAUGGUAGAGCUUAGUGGUAGAGUGCGUGCAUGCUAGCACGAGGUCCUGAGUUCAAUCCCCAGUACCUCCA
This 71-nucleotide transfer RNA is filed under the name Camelus bactrianus (Bactrian camel). It matches the Rfam family "tRNA". From Rfam's summary of the family: Transfer RNA (tRNA) molecules are approximately 80 nucleotides in length. Their secondary structure includes four short double-helical elements and three loops (D, anti-codon, and T loops). RNAcentral also lists the same sequence under 2 other names. Lineage: Eukaryota; Metazoa; Chordata; Mammalia; Artiodactyla; Camelidae. The record is from Rfam by way of RNAcentral.